GUGCCAGCAGCCGCGGUAAGACGAACCGUGCGAACGUUGUUCGGAAUCACUGGGCUUAAAGGGCGCGUAGGCGGGCUGCCAAGUCCGUGGUGAAAUCCUCCGGCUCAACCGGAGAAUGGCCUCGGAUACUGGCGGCCUGGAGGCGGGUAGGGGCAAGCGGAACUGUGGGUGGAGCGGUGAAAUGCGUUGAUAUCCACAGGAACUCCGGUGGCGAAGGCGGCUUGCUGGACCCGAUCUGACGCUGAGGCGCGAAAGCCAGGGGAGCGAACGGGAUUAGAUACCCCGGUAGUCCUGGCCCUAAACGUUGGGAACUAGGUAGUAGCCCGGACAUGGGGUUACUGCCGGAGCAAAAGUGCUAAGUUCCCCGCCUGGGGAGUAUGGUCGCAAGGCUGAA
RNAcentral lists this ribosomal RNA (394 nucleotides) under uncultured bacterium. Its description in RNAcentral is "bacterial SSU rRNA". It matches the Rfam family "Bacterial small subunit ribosomal RNA", at positions 505 to 898 of the family's 1533-position model. The record is from RNAcentral.